GGGGCAGGGGCGGCUGCUCCGUGGGGAGGGGACAGGGAUGGAGGGGGCGGGGGAAGCCGGGUGCAUCGGUUUCCCGCUGUCCUAGGAAGUUCUGAGGAGGGGCUGAGGCUGCUGGGCGCCCGUCUGGGGCCGUAACAGGAGCGUUGGGCGGGCCCCGGCCGGGACCCUCUGACACCCGCUGCUGGUCCGGACAGAACCGAUGGGGAAGGCGGAAAGAAGCGGGCCCCGCUGCAGGCGGCUGCGGUGGGGAAGGAGCGUUACCUGCACCCGCGGGCCCCCCGGAGUACGGACGUUGCGGCUGGAAACACGAGCUCGCCUUGAAGGCAGCUGCGAAAACGGUUCACGUUUUAGGACAACGUAGAAGGAAAAGUUCUUCUGAAGUGGUCACUCGGCUUGGAGCUGGGAGAGAGCUGUGCAGCCCCAGAAACUAACCCUGGCUAGCAGGGACGUAUGCAUGUUAAUGAAGGAAACUCUGCCGGAAAGGAAUACAUAAAAGGAUGCCAAACUCUUUGUCCUGUGAAGAGUGAUGCAGACAAAGUGCCAGCUACUCAGCAGUGACUUUGCAAUUGAAGGGCUAUGAAUACACGACUUUCAGGUCCUGGAAGGAAGCCCUUCUGUAUGAUUACAGUUCUGAUAUCACAUUGCAUGUAACUUGGCUCUCAGAGAAUUUUUUUUUUAUAUCACGGAAAACUAGGAUCCCUGAAUAUUGCUCUUCAGUUAGCCAGGGGAGUCACUAAAGAGUAAGGUCUGAAGAACUCCCUCUCUUAAAAAACAGAAUUGAAUGCUUUGGAUCCAGUGUUCCCAAAUCUUGCUGGUCAGCGAGGACUCCCCUAGACUCUCAAGGCCAAAUUGAAGGUUACCCGUGCAGACGCCAUAGCAUGGCAAGCAUGGAGCCCGCUCAGCUCACUGCUGCUGUUGCGAGCAUUGUAAACACCUCGCGCAUUGUACUGCAGUAUGUACAGAACCUAGCUAAGAGAUGGCAGCACGAGGACGAUUGUGAGAAGAACAUGGACACAGACGUUCCUGAAAGCACGGGAUGUGGCAAUUGGGACAUCUUGGCGGCAGUGGGGCUGGUUGAUACAGUGGAAUGCCGAUUCUGGG
Chelonia mydas (Green sea turtle) is the source of this 1101-nucleotide long non-coding RNA. RefSeq lists it as uncharacterized. Lineage: Eukaryota; Metazoa; Chordata; Testudines; Cheloniidae. The transcript has 4 exons. The record is from RefSeq and is a predicted model, not a curated record.